UACGUAGGGUGCGAGCGUUAAUCGGAAUUACUGGGCGUAAAGCGUGCGCAGGCGGUUUUUUAAGUCUUACGUGAAAUCCUCCGGCUUAACCUGGGAAUUGCGUUGGAGACUGCAAGGCUGGAGUCUGGCAGGGGGGGGUAGAAUUCCACGUGUAGCAGUGAAAUGCGUAGAGAUGUGGAGGAACACCGAUGGCGAAGGCAGCCCCCUGGGUCAAGACUGACGCUCAUGCACGAAAGCGUGGGGAGCAAACAGG
Molecule: ribosomal RNA, 253 nt
Filed under: uncultured bacterium
Lineage: Bacteria
Description: partial 16S ribosomal RNA
Rfam family: Bacterial small subunit ribosomal RNA
Source: RNAcentral